RNAcentral lists this long non-coding RNA (2200 nucleotides) under Pan troglodytes (chimpanzee). RNAcentral's name for it is "lincRNA". Lineage: Eukaryota; Metazoa; Chordata; Mammalia; Primates; Hominidae. The record is from RNAcentral.
ACAUUCGGAUGAGGGAAGCAGAUAGCCCACCAGCGAGCACAGGGACAUGCCAGAUUUCGCUCUUGUCGCCCAGGCUGGAGUGCAACGGUACGAUCUCAUGUCACGGCAACCUCCGCCUCCCAGGUUCAAGCAAUUCUCCCGCCUCAGCCUCCCGAGUAGCUGGGACUAAAGGUGCCUGCCACCAAGCUCAGCUAAUUUUUGUAUCUUUAGUAGAGACGGGGUUUCACUAUGCUGGCCAGGCUCGUCUCGAACUCCUGACCUCAAGUGAUCCGCGCGCCUCGGCCUCCCAAAGUGCUGGGAUUACAGGCGUGAGCCACCACGUCUGGCCUUCUUGUCCGUUUAUUUAUUCAUUCAACAAAUAUUCAUGAAAUGUAUGUUGUAAGCUGAAUACUUUGCCAGGCUCUGAGGACCAGUCAGGCACUUCGAUGCCCUCAAGCAGCCCAGGACCUAGAGGUUUCAAUGCCUCUGCUUUCCUAUUUAUAAAUGGGCAGACUGGACCUGAAGUCCUGAAGGCUCACCCGCCUGGAAGCCACCUCUCCUCUGGAGUUCUGAUGACGCUGCAGAAGCCUGGGAAAAUAACAAGAAAGCUCUAUUUACAGAAAAACACCAGCUAAAAAAUGUAGAAGGAAUCUAAAAGGUAUCGAAAGUGACCAUCUUGCAAGUGGAAUAUUGGUUUUGGCCAAAGAUGCUAAAAUGAUCAACAGAAGGGUCGUCCUUUCUGUUGGGAACCAGGAUGCUCACAAGGCACUGCCCACAAGGGACACUAAUUGCAAAAGGGACAGUGUGCCUCCACAGGGGGACAGCUGGUGUCACCAUCUUAACAAGGGAUCUGACAGCAUCACUGUGGGGGGAGAAAGCCAACAUCGUGCACCUCCAGGAGCUCUCAGAGGAUGGAGGAACACGUGAACCAACACCAGGAGGACGCAGCCCGAGAGAUCAGCCGUGGGACAUUUCACAAGACCACGGCCAAGUCUCUUCACAAAGUCAACGUCAAACACACCAAACAAAGGAAAAAAAGAUAAAAGAGAAGAAAAAGAGCAAAAGGGAAGGGACUGCUCUAGCCAAAAAAGGACUACACAGAUACAAUGACCGGAUGUAAUAUGUGACCCCCAGAGGGAUUCCGAUUCAAAAGAUGCAGCCAUGGAAAAUGUCUUAUAAGCACCGGGGCCAUUUAAAUGUGGACUAGAUGUCAGAUGGUCUUAUUGAACUAUGAUUGACUUUCUUAGAUGUGAUCAUGACAGUCUAUGUGAGAGAAUGUCCAUUUUCUUAGGAGGUGCCUGUGGACACACUUAGGACUGCAGUGUCGGGAUGUCUGCAAAUUGCCUUCAGGGUCUCAGCCAGAAAGCAGGCAGGAAGAGACAGAGAUGGAUGGAGCCAUGCAGACACCAAGGUGAAGAGCUACUGAAUCUUGGUGGAGGGUCCCUGAGUCUUCAUUAUAAUUUUAACUUUCUUGAAGUUUUGAAGUUUUCAUAAUAAAAAGUUAGGAGGGAAACAUUUUAAAGUAGAGAAACUAGAUCUUCCCACAGAACACUGGGGACCCUUAUUAUUAUUUUUUUAAACCCUGCUCUUUGCUUUUUCAAAGUGAGUUUUGCUAAAAUAAUGGUAUCUAGCAUUUCUGAGAAAUUAGCACAAAUGUACAGCUACAUUAGCAACAGGAAAUUCAGCACAUCUGAGUCAUCUAUGUAAAUGGCAAUAAUGAAAAUGAGGGCUUUCGCUGCAUGUCUAAGAAAUGUCCUCUUUUGGAGACUCUUCCUUUUGUUUUACACCCAGAACUGUCUCAGAGGAGGUUCAACAGCAGGGCCUCAAGGGACCAGGAGUAGGUGGCAGACAUGAGGGAGCUCAAAGAGACCACAGCACCUGCAGGGAUGUGGGUCUUUAGGGCCAAAAUACCACGGACACGCUAGUGCAGAGUGGAACCAUCUCCCUGGGAAAUAUUGAUCAACAGGCCAGUGUUCCCUUUCUUCAAACAAUUUAACUUAAGGAGCUCAUGCCCUUCAAGGUGACAAAGAUGGUAAAAUGUGAAUUAAAUGAGCAGAUGUUACGUGUUUAGAACAGUGCCCUAAGUUUUCCCUGUUGUUACUCCCAAUGAGCACUGUACGAGUUCAUUUAAAAAGCUAAGAACUGUCCGGCAGGCUAUACUAAAUGGAAAAGGUAGCAUGCUAAACAGCAACCUUGAUCUGUAUAAGCCAGCAGUUGUGUU